GGUGAUUUGAAUGCUUUGUUGAUGUUGAUUCAAUUUAUCCAAUUGGUGUUGAUCUUAGUCAUACAAAUCCAGUUAAGAGAUAAUGUUGAGCAGUGUGGACGAGUUGAAAUAUCAUGUUUGGCGCUCGGAUAUUGACAUUAUUCGGCAUGAGGUUUGCUUUAACCUCAAGGAUAUGAACAUUUGCUAUAGUUGUGGACAAAAAGAGCUGUUGAAGAUAGGAUAAUGGAUAUUUCAUCCGGUUCAAAUAUGUGUAUGGUUGCAUCUUCAGUUUGGGUUAUACAAAUGUGUAGGAAGUUCCAAAGAUUAGUUAUUUCAAGUCAAGAUAACUGCAAAGCUUGUCAAGUUUGUGAGGCAGGUUUUGAUGAUUUUAGAAGAAAUAUUGAAGCUGAGGUUGGUCCUAUUAGUUUAGAAGACUUCGAAACACAAAGGCUGCAGUCCAAUCUCCAGUUCAACAAGUUGUUUAAGAGAUUAUCGGGAGUGGAUAUCUUGUUCAUUCAAGUGGUAGUAGUAGUUCAAAGUUAGUUUGUGUUAGGUCUGGAUCUCAAAAUAUUUCAAAUGAUAAUUGACUAUAGUUGUAAUAGAA
This is a long non-coding RNA of Ipomoea nil (Japanese morning glory), 583 nucleotides long. RefSeq lists it as uncharacterized. Lineage: Eukaryota; Viridiplantae; Streptophyta; Magnoliopsida; Solanales; Convolvulaceae. The record is from RefSeq and is a predicted model, not a curated record. The transcript is spliced from 3 exons.